AGAGUUUGAUUAUGGCUCAGGAUGAACGCUGGCGGCGUGCCUAACACAUGCAAGUCGAACGGGUGUGGGGGCUUCGGCUCCUACAUUAGUGGCGGACGGGUGAGUAACGCGUGGAGAACCUGCCCUGGUACUGGGGGAUAACAGUGGGAAACCACUGCUAAUACCGCAUACGCUUGCGGGGGCGCAUGUUCCUGCAAGGAAAACUCCGGUGGUACAGGAUGGCUCCGCGUUGGAUUAGCCAGUUGGCGGGGUAACGGCCCACCAAAGCGACGAUCCAUAGCCGGCCUGAGAGGGUGGACGGCCACAUUGGGACUGAGACACGGCCCAGACUCCUACGGGAGGCAGCAGUGGGGGAUAUUGCACAAUGGGGGGAACCCUGAUGCAGCGACGCCCGCGUGAAGGAUGAAGUAUCUCGGUAUGUAAACUUCUAUCAGCAGGGAAGAUGAUGACGGUACCUGCACAAGAAGCCCCGGCUAACUACGUGCCAGCCGCUGC
RNAcentral lists this ribosomal RNA (495 nucleotides) under uncultured bacterium. Its description in RNAcentral is "bacterial SSU rRNA". It matches the Rfam family "Bacterial small subunit ribosomal RNA", at positions 8 to 518 of the family's 1533-position model. The record is from RNAcentral.